GACGAACGCUGGCGGCGUGCUUAACACAUGCAAGUCGAACGGAAAGGCCCUGCUUUUGUGGGGUGCUCGAGUGGCGAACGGGUGAGUAACACGUGAGUAACCUGCCCUUGACUUUGGGAUAACUUCAGGAAACUGGGGCUAAUACCGGAUAGGAGCUCCUGCUGCAUGAUGGGGGUUGGAAAGUUUCGGCGGUUGGGGAUGGACUCGCGGCUUAUCAGCUUGUUGGUGGGGUAGUGGCUUACCCAGGCUUUGACGGGUAGCCGGCCUGAGAGGGUGACCGGCCACAAUGGGACUGAGAUACGGCCCAGACUCCUACGGGAGGCAGCAGUGGGGAAUAUUGCACAAUGGGCGGAAGCCUGAUGCAGCAACGCCGCGUGCGGGAUGGCGGCCUUCGGGUUGUAAACCGCUUUCGCCUGUGACGAAGCGUGAGUGACGGUAAUGGGUAAAGAAGCACCGGCUAACUACGUG
Molecule: ribosomal RNA, 468 nt
Filed under: uncultured bacterium
Lineage: Bacteria
Description: partial 16S ribosomal RNA
Rfam family: Bacterial small subunit ribosomal RNA
Source: RNAcentral